RNAcentral lists this signal recognition particle RNA (209 nucleotides) under Chlorocebus sabaeus (green monkey). RNAcentral describes it as "Metazoan signal recognition particle RNA". It matches the Rfam family "Metazoan signal recognition particle RNA". From Rfam's summary of the family: The signal recognition particle (SRP) is a universally conserved ribonucleoprotein. Lineage: Eukaryota; Metazoa; Chordata; Mammalia; Primates; Cercopithecidae. The record is from Rfam by way of RNAcentral.
GCCAGGCGCGGUGGCCCAAGCCUGUAAUCCCAGCACUUUGGGAGGCCGAGACGGGCGGAUCAUGAGAUCAGGAGAUAGAGACCAUCCUGGCCAACGUGGGGAAACCCCACCUCUAUUAAAAANNNNNNNNNNUUUUUAAUAGAGGUGGGGUUUCCCCACGUUGGCCAGGAUGGUCUCUAUCUCCUGAUCUCAUGAUCCGCCCGUCUCGG